Molecule: ribosomal RNA, 2312 nt
Filed under: Salmonella enterica subsp. enterica serovar Chester
Lineage: Bacteria; Pseudomonadati; Pseudomonadota; Gammaproteobacteria; Enterobacterales; Enterobacteriaceae
Description: partial 23S ribosomal RNA
Rfam family: Bacterial large subunit ribosomal RNA
Source: RNAcentral
ACAUACGCAUCCUUUGCUGAGGAUACGGUUAACGGAGCGAAAGCGACGUUCAACCGCAAAAGAAGCAGAGGGGGCUUAGUGGUGGGGUGACUGCGUACCUUUUGUAUAAUGGGUCAGCGACUUAUAUUCUGUAGCAAGGUUAACCGAAUAGGGGAGCCGGAGGGAAACCGAGUCUUAAUUGGGCGUUAAGUUGCAGGGUAUAGACCCGAAACCCGGUGAUCUAGCCAUGGGCAGGUUGAAGGUUGGGUAACACUAACUGGAGGACCGAACCGACUAAUGUUGAAAAAUUAGCGGAUGACCUGUGGCUGGGGGUGAAAGGCCAAUCAAACCGGGAGAUAGCUGGUUCUCCCCGAAAGCUAUUUAGGUAGCGCCUCGUGAAUUCAUCUCCGGGGGUAGAGCACUGUUUCGGCUAGGGGGCCAUCCCGGCUUACCAACCCGAUGCAAACUGCGAAUACCGGAGAAUGUUAUCACGGGAGACACACGGCGGGUGCUAACGUCCGUCGUGAAGAGGGAAACAACCCAGACCGCCAGCUAAGGUCCCAAAGUCAUGGUUAAGUGGGAAACGAUGUGGGAAGGCCCAGACAGCCAGGAUGUUGGCUUAGAAGCAGCCAUCAUUUAAAGAAAGCGUAAUAGCUCACUGGUCGAGUCGGCCUGCGCGGAAGAUGUAACGGGGCUAAACCAUGCACCGAAGCUGCGGCAGCGACGCUGAUGCGUUGUUGGGUAGGGGAGCGUUCUGUAAGCCUGCGAAGGUGGCCUGUGAGGGUUGCUGGAGGUAUCAGAAGUGCGAAUGCUGACAUAAGUAACGAUAAAGCGGGUGAAAAGCCCGCUCGCCGGAAGACCAAGGGUUCCUGUCCAACGUUAAUCGGGGCAGGGUGAGUCGACCCCUAAGGCGAGGCCGAAAGGCGUAGUCGAUGGGAAACGGGUUAAUAUUCCCGUACUUGGUGUUACUGCGAAGGGGGGACGGAGAAGGCUAUGUUGGCCGGGCGACGGUUGUCCCGGUUUAAGCGUGUAGGUGUGUGUUCCAGGUAAAUCCGGUUCACUUUAACACUGAGGCGUGAUGACGAGGCACUACGGUGCUGAAGCAACAAAUGCCCUGCUUCCAGGAAAAGCCUCUAAGCAUCAGGUAACAUCAAAUCGUACCCCAAACCGACACAGGUGGUCAGGUAGAGAAUACCAAGGCGCUUGAGAGAACUCGGGUGAAGGAACUAGGCAAAAUGGUGCCGUAACUUCGGGAGAAGGCACGCUGACACGUAGGUGAAGUGAUUUACUCAUGGAGCUGAAGUCAGUCGAAGAUACCAGCUGGCUGCAACUGUUUAUUAAAAACACAGCACUGUGCAAACACGAAAGUGGACGUAUACGGUGUGACGCCUGCCCGGUGCCGGAAGGUUAAUUGAUGGGGUCAGCGCAAGCGAAGCUCCUGAUCGAAGCCCCGGUAAACGGCGGCCGUAACUAUAACGGUCCUAAGGUAGCGAAAUUCCUUGUCGGGUAAGUUCCGACCUGCACGAAUGGCGUAAUGAUGGCCAGGCUGUCUCCACCCGAGACUCAGUGAAAUUGAACUCGCUGUGAAGAUGCAGUGUACCCGCGGCAAGACGGAAAGACCCCGUGAACCUUUACUAUAGCUUGACACUGAACAUUGAGCCUUGAUGUGUAGGAUAGGUGGGAGGCUUUGAAGUGUGGACGCCAGUCUGCAUGGAGCCGACCUUGAAAUACCACCCUUUAAUGUUUGAUGUUCUAACGUGGACCCGUGAUCCGGGUUGCGGACAGUGUCUGGUGGGUAGUUUGACUGGGGCGGUCUCCUCCUAAAGAGUAACGGAGGAGCACGAAGGUUGGCUAAUCCUGGUCGGACAUCAGGAGGUUAGUGCAAUGGCAUAAGCCAGCUUGACUGCGAGCGUGACGGCGCGAGCAGGUGCGAAAGCAGGUCAUAGUGAUCCGGUGGUUCUGAAUGGAAGGGCCAUCGCUCAACGGAUAAAAGGUACUCCGGGGAUAACAGGCUGAUACCGCCCAAGAGUUCAUAUCGACGGCGGUGUUUGGCACCUCGAUGUCGGCUCAUCACAUCCUGGGGCUGAAGUAGGUCCCAAGGGUAUGGCUGUUCGCCAUUUAAAGUGGUACGCGAGCUGGGUUUAGAACGUCGUGAGACAGUUCGGUCCCUAUCUGCCGUGGGCGCUGGAGAACUGAGGGGGGCUGCUCCUAGUACGAGAGGACCGGAGUGGACGCAUCACUGGUGUUCGGGUUGUCAUGCCAAUGGCACUGCCCGGUAGCUAAAUGCGGAAGAGAUAAGUGCUGAAAGCAUCUAAGCACGAAACUUGCCCCGA